AAAUGAGUCUUAAUCUUUAAAAAUUGUUUUAACGUAUUUGAUACUAUAGACUUAAAACAUCAAGUAUUAAAUUAGAAAAAGAUACUUCCUAUGUAUAAUAUUUAAAUUGAAAAAAAUAACAAUAUUUCAAUUUAUUGAUUUACUGAUCAUUUUGUCAACUGACAAAAUGGGGGUGUGGAACCUGUGGAUGGUUUAGGUGGAUGGGGAUUUCUGUGAGAACAAAGGGCAAAAUAUAUAAAGAAAAGAGAAAAUGGACAAAACAAAAGAGAACUGAUAGAGAAUAAUGGACUCAAAGUUAAAAGACUAGAGAAUAAUGGACUCAAAGUUAAAAGAAUAGAGAAUAAUGGUCAAAGAGAAUAAUGGACUCAAAGUUAAAAGAAUAGAGAAUAAUGGACUCAAAGUUAAAAGAAUAGAGAAUAAUGGACUCAAAGUUAAAAGAAUAGAGAAUAAUGACUAAGUUAAAGAAUUGAAGAAAAAUGAUCAAAGUUAAAAGAAUAGAGAAUAAGGACUCAAAAAAAGUAGAAAAAGGAAAAGUAGAGAGAAUAAUGGACUCAAAGUAAAGAUAGAGAAAAAUGGACUCAGAACUAGAGAAUAUGGACUCAAAGUUAAAAAAAUGAUACGAGGAAUCAAGUUUAAAGAAUAGAAGAAUAAUUUGGUUUAAAAAUAGACUAAAGUUAGAGGACAAAAAAAUGGAGAAAUUUACUCAAGUUAAAAGCUAAGAAAAUGGACUCAAAGUUAAAAAGAAUAAAGAAAAAUGGAAUCAAGUAAAAACUGGAAAAUGGACUCAAAGUUUAAAAGAUAGAGAAAAAUGGACUCAAAGUUUAAAAGACUAAAUUAAAAGUAAUAGAAAAAUGGACUCAAAGUUAAAAGAAUAGAGAAUAAUGGACUCAAAGUUAAAAGAAUAGAGAAAAAUGGACUCAAAGUUAAAAGAAUAAAUGGACUCAAAGUUAAAAGAAUAGAGAAAAUGGAUCAAGUUAAAAGAAUUAAAAAGUUAAAAAAUAGAGAAAAAUGGACUCAAGUUAAAAGAAUAGAGAAUAUGGAGUUAAAGAAAAGAAUAGAGAAUAAUGACUCAAAGGAGAGAAAGAAUAGAGA
RNAcentral lists this long non-coding RNA (1092 nucleotides) under Mytilus galloprovincialis (Mediterranean mussel). Lineage: Eukaryota; Metazoa; Mollusca; Bivalvia; Mytilida; Mytilidae. The record is from RNAcentral.